This 72-nucleotide transfer RNA is filed under the name Agrilus planipennis (emerald ash borer). It matches the Rfam family "tRNA". Rfam says of the family: Transfer RNA (tRNA) molecules are approximately 80 nucleotides in length. Their secondary structure includes four short double-helical elements and three loops (D, anti-codon, and T loops). The record is from Rfam by way of RNAcentral. Lineage: Eukaryota; Metazoa; Arthropoda; Insecta; Coleoptera; Buprestidae.
CCUCUCGUAGCUUAGCAGUAAAGUACUGGUGUGAAGAACCGGGGGACCCGGGUUCGAUUCCCGGCGAGAGUU